Molecule: long non-coding RNA, 3322 nt
Organism: Haplochromis burtoni (Burton's mouthbrooder)
Lineage: Eukaryota; Metazoa; Chordata; Actinopteri; Cichliformes; Cichlidae
Exons: 3
Source: RefSeq, a predicted model, not a curated record
CAGACGUGAAGCAGACUCUGAUCCUCUGAGGUCUUUCAGGCUUCGGCCUCCGUCUCGACACACAUCACGUCUAACUGCUGUGCAUGCUUCAUCGUAUUCGCCAUCUCAUUGUUGGUUCUGUCUUUAAGUCUUCGUGUGUUCUGACAGAAAUAUUCUUCAGACUCAUCGAUCGGCCGCAACAUGAAACCAGAGACGGCUGAAGUCUCCAGAGAGAGAGAGUGUUAUCAGCACUGUGCAGCCCCCCUGAUCCUGGCAGAGCUGAGUCGGUUCAUACAGGGGGUAAUGUGUCCUUCUGCUGUGUGCAUGUGUGUGUGCAUGAGAGAGAGUGAGAGUCAUGCUGCAUGGAUAAAACGAUUAGUGAAAUAUAGGCAAGAGGAGGAAGAAAAAAUGGACUCUGGACAGGAGAGAAGGAUGAAGGAAAAGGAAAGUAGCAAAUAAGACGAGAGGGCGUGAAAGGAUGAAAGGAGGAGAAGAGAUUCUAGAAAAUGAUCAGAAAGAUAAAGAUGGAGAUAAUGAUGUAACCACACAUGAUGGCCCCACUGGUUUCUGGGCUCCACAUUUUGAAGCCUCAACAUUCGCCUUCUGGCCUCAGCCAUGUUGGUCUGUUGGAGCCAGAGCAAAGUCCUGCUGGAAGCAAGUCUCACAGCUAGGCAGCCAUCUUGGAACAAAUCCAGGCAUUUAUUUGGAAGCCCAUAGUGAAAUGAGAAGGACAAAGAAAUAACUUUAUUUUCAGAGGCCAGUGCUUCAAAAAAUAUAAAAGUUUUGCCCCAAAUUAUGAUUUAAACACAACUUCACAACUCCAAUAACGGCUCGGUCCACAGUGCUGACACGACCGGUACCUCUGCUCAUCUUUGCUAUCAGAGCACUGAACAGACUCCGUGAUCAUUUACGUUACGGACACAGUGAGCCAAGUUUCAGAUGCUCUUUAGGCGUUUUUAGAUUCUCAGAAAUCCCCCUCAGAUUUCUCUGUAAUGGUUUAUAUUGUGUUUGGUUGGACUGACAGGUAAAACAUACAAACAUCCUGAUUGUCAUGAUUGCCCUUUUUUAAAUAAUCCCAGGAAGCAGACUCAGACAGUGAAAAGCAGGUUUACAGUGUUUACAUGAGUGAAGUAAAUAACAGGAACUGGAGCAGGCAGGAACAAAAGACAGCACCGCAGGUCUGAGAGGGUCUGUGGAGGGAGAGGAAGGGAGUCAGUACAGGUAAGUGGAGAAGUAUGAAUGGCUGCUUUGAUUAGUGUGUUUGUUAGCCUUACUUUGCAGAGAUACGAUAAUAGGGGUAUUUGCAAAAAGGCUGACAGAGUCUUCUGGUGCGGGUGGUGGACAGUGGGUGGACAGGUGAGUCUCCAGUGACAGGAAAGUUUUCCACACGGAUACAACGAAACUGCUGACAGAAUCUGCGACUGAGAUAGAAGAGGUAAGAGUGAGUCUUUGGGUACGAAGCUCUGCAGAGGAGACGACAAGCAACUUUGGGGAAACGAGGAUGAAGAACGGAGCCAAAUUGCCCGUGGUGGAAAUAAUGAUCAGGUGGAGAUCCAUCACCAGAGCUGGCUCCUAAAUACACAGCCACACAAUUGGAAACAACCUGCAGGUGUGUGGGGGUGAACGCAGAGCUGACCCACUCAAAGCUGGUGCCAGACAUGAAAGUGCCCAGAGCUACACAGAGAGAGAAACAACAGCCUACCUCCCCAAGACCAUGGCUCAAUGUGUGGCACAGCAGCUACCACACAUUUUUAUUUCUUUAUUUUGCAGAAGCAUUUUUACACAUGGGCACAACAGCCUGCUCAGACUGCAACUAGCUUUCAGCAAAAAGAUUCCAGAUUUUUGUUUAAUCAGAUAAUAUAUCAUACAACCUCAUAUAUGUCCUCUGCUUACAGAAUUCAGCCCUGCUUUGCACAUAGGAGCAAGAAAAAACACCAAGAAUAUUUGGCCUACAGCCAUAUGCAAAUCAAAUACAUAAAUAAGUAAAUAGUUUGGCUCUGCUACGGAGAGCAGCUUCCAUAAACUAAACUAUACAGAUAUCUGCCAAUCAGGGCUGAGCAACAGACUAAUAAAAUACAAGACUUUUAUCACCAAAACUGAAGCACAGACUUCUCGAACCCUACAUCAAGUCACAUAAUUCGUCAGAUAAUUUGAUAAAAAAAAUUCUCCAUAAGGGAGAAACAGCACAAAGAGGAAAGGUUCAGUGACUGAAGUCAGUGGAGGUGAAGCAGUGGAGGUACACCCGUCAACGACGCCAGAAACAUUAAGCUUUAAAAAAACUCAGAUACUUAUUAAAGGAAAUCCCUGAAAAUUUGUUAGUAGUAAGAGACCAAAAGUGAUUUCUACAGCAGGUAGUUUCAUGGCUGAUUCACUUUCCAGAGAGCCUCUAGUGGCCAUUAGAGGAGCUGCAGGUUUUUGGCAUUGAGGCUUCAUUUUUCAGUCGUUUGCUUACCACAAACUCGCAAAACAAAAUAUAAUUCAACAUGCCACAAAAGCACGAAACAACCACAAACAGCACGUCAGGAACGGUUAGCUCUCCCUGUGUGAAUCCUGCUGCUCUGCAGAAGGACUACGAGGAAAUAAUCCAUCGCUAUUAGAAAGAGUUACUGUACAUGUGGAGAUGCAGACCAACUGCUGACAGGAAGACAAGAGAAGCAGGUGGGUUUCAUCAGGGAAAACAUGUCAGUCCAAACCAGCAUCUCCCAAAUAAUUUUGUGAUCAUUUUCUGAAAGCCUGAUGGUUUGUUACUUUCAGUACUCUGAGACGAGAUAAAGGAAAUGGAGACGCACAGAAAUGAGGGGUAUAAAAAUACAGAAGACGAAAGAAGCCAACGCAGAGCGAGGAGAGAGAAUAUGGCGAUGUGAGCGGAGCGAGAAGCAGAUUAAGGAUCCCGCAGAAAAGGAAUAAAUGAUGAAAACUGGAAAUAAAGGAAGAUGGAGAAGAGCGGAGAAGACAGGGAUUAGUAACAGCGAGGGAUUACAGGAUGAAGAAAAGUCUUUGAUGGUCUCGGUUAUGAAUGAGAUGCUGUGAGUCACAGAUUAACUCCUUAUGUUCCAGAUUAACAGGAGAAGACGGAUGAUUAUACUGCUGUGACAGGACUUUGGCUUAUGGAUAAUGGAUCAUGGAUCUUAUAACCAGACUGGAGACCUCACGGAGAAUCCUGCCGUUGUCCUGCUGGCUUCAUAAAAAAGCAAAAUUAGGGUCACAGGGACUGGAGCCCAUCCCUGCUACCGCAGGGUGAGAGGCCCGGUGCACCCUGGACAGGUCACCAAUCUGACGAAGGGCUUAUCAGUUAACCUAACCCCACUAACACUAAUGUGUUUGGACUGUGGGAGGAAGCCAG